GAUGAACGCUGGCGGCGUGCCUAAUACAUGCAAGUCGAGCGACCGGACGAGAAGCUUGUUUCUCUGAUGUUAGCGGCGGACGGGUGAGUAACACGUGGAUAACCUACCUAUAUGACUGGGAUAACUUCGGGAAACCGGAGCUAAUACAGGAUAAUAUUUUGAACCGCAUGGUUCAAAAGUGACAGACGGUCUUGCUGUCACUUAUAGAUGGAUUCGCGCUGCAUUAGCUAGUUGGUAAGGUAACGGCUUACCAAGGCAACGAUGCAUAGCCGACCUGAGAGGGUGAUCGGCCACACUGGAACUGAGACACGGUCCAGACUCCUACGGGAGGCAGCAGUAGGGAAUCUUCGGCAAUGGGCGAAAGCCUGACGGAGCAACGCCGCGUGAGUGAUGAAGGUCUUCGGAUCGUAAAACUCUGUUAUUAGGGAAGAACAGAUGUGUAAGUAACUGUGGACAUCUUGACGGUACCUAAACAGAAAGCCACGGCUAACUACGUG
RNAcentral lists this ribosomal RNA (497 nucleotides) under uncultured bacterium. RNAcentral's name for it is "partial 16S ribosomal RNA". It matches the Rfam family "Bacterial small subunit ribosomal RNA", at positions 28 to 507 of the family's 1533-position model. The record is from RNAcentral.